This 503-nucleotide ribosomal RNA is filed under the name uncultured Tuber. Its description in RNAcentral is "eukaryotic LSU rRNA". The stretch from base 126 to 279 matches the Rfam family "5.8S ribosomal RNA". Lineage: Eukaryota; Fungi; Ascomycota; Pezizomycetes; Pezizales; Tuberaceae. The record is from RNAcentral.
GUAUCACUCCAUGUUGNUUUCCACGGGUUAAGCCACUGUGCUGGUACCUGUGGGAGAUCUCCACGUUAACAGAGUAUUUGAUCACGCCGUCUGAGCUGGCCACGUGUCAGAUUUACUGAAGUAAAAACUUUCAACAACGGAUCUCUUGGCUCUCGCAUCGAUGAAGAACGCAGCGAAAUGCGAUAGGUAAUGUGAAUUGCAGAAUUCAGUGAAUCGUCGAAUCUUUGAACGCACAUUGCGCCCUUUGGUAUUCCUUAGGGCAUGCCUGUUCGAGCGUCACUACACACCUUAUCACAACAUUUGUGGUCUUGGCAGGAGUGAAUUGCUAGUCUAUGAAAAUAUUCCAGCUGUCCACCAUGCUGAAAAUUAUGGGAAGGUUACCAGGCGUGAACAACAGACUUUGUAAAGGGUUGCAGGACCUGUAUCAGUCACCAGUCAUGUCUGGUCCUUACCUUAGGGACCCCCAUCCUAGAUGAACUAUGGGUUGACCUCGAAUCAGGUAG